GAUGAACGCUGGCGGCGUGCCUAAUACAUGCAAGUCGAGCGAACAGACGAGGAGCUUGCUCCUCUGACGUUAGCGGCGGACGGGUGAGUAACACGUGGAUAACCUACCUAUAAGACUGGGAUAACUUCGGGAAACCGGAGCUAAUACCGGAUAAUAUAUUGAACCGCAUGGUUCAAUAGUGAAAGACGGUUUUGCUGUCACUUAUAGAUGGAUCCGCGCCGCAUUAGCUAGUUGGUAAGGUAACGGCUUACCAAGGCAACGAUGCGUAGCCGACCUGAGAGGGUGAACGGCCACACUGGAACUGAGACACGGUCCAGACUCCUAAGGGAGGCAGCAGUAGGGAAUCUUCCGCAAUGGGCGAAAGCCUGACGGAGCAACGCCGCGUGAGUGAUGAAGGUCUUCGGAUCGUAAAACUCUGUUAUUAGGGAAGAACAAAUGUGUAAGUAACUAUGCACGUCUUGACGGUACCUAAUCAGAAAGCCACGGCUAACUACGUG
This 497-nucleotide ribosomal RNA is filed under the name uncultured bacterium. RNAcentral's name for it is "partial 16S ribosomal RNA". It matches the Rfam family "Bacterial small subunit ribosomal RNA", at positions 28 to 507 of the family's 1533-position model. The record is from RNAcentral.